CGCCCCGAAUUGUAGUCUAGAAAGGCGCCAUCGGCCGCGUCCGUCGCUCAAAUCCCUUGGAACAGGGUAUCGGAGAGGGUGAGAGUCCCGUACCGUGGCGGAUCGCGGCCGCACGAUGCGUUUUUGCAGAGUCGGGUUGCUUGGGAUUGCAGCUUGAAUUGGGAGGUAAAUUCCUUCUAAAGCUAAAUACUGGUUCAUGACCGAUAGCGAACAAGUACCGUGAGGGAAAGAUGCAAAGAACUUUGAAAAGAGAGUUAAAGAGUGCUUGAAAUUGGCGAGAAGAAACCCGGUUGUGCCCGGUUUCGCGGUUCCGAUUCAGCCGUGUUCAUCGGUGCAUUUUGGAUUCGCGGGUCAGCCGCUCUUCUGAGUGCGUCAUAACUGCCUGGGGGGCUUUUUGUGAGCCAGGUCACUGACGCGCUUGGGAGCCCGGCUGACGGAACGGGCACAACCGACCCGUCUAGAAACACGGACCAAGGAGUCUGACACGGAUGCGAGUACCCGGGUGGCAAGCCCGCGUGCGCAAUGAAAGUAAAGGGCGUGCCCCGCCAACCGACCUUGAUCUUCUGUGAAGGGUUUGAGUCGAGCAUCACUGUCGGGACCCGAAAGAUGGUGAACUAUGCCUGAAUAGGUUGAAGUCUGCCGAAAGGCAGAUGGAGGACCGUAGCGAUACUGACGUGCAAAUCGUUCGUCAAAUUUGGGUAUAGGGGCGAAAGACUAAUCGAACCAUCUAGUAGCUGGUUCCCUCCGAAGUUUCCCUCAGGAUAGCUUGGACGCAAGGGUUUUGU
This 785-nucleotide ribosomal RNA is filed under the name Haptophyta environmental samples. Its description in RNAcentral is "eukaryotic LSU rRNA". It matches the Rfam family "Eukaryotic large subunit ribosomal RNA", at positions 134 to 1004 of the family's 3401-position model. Lineage: Eukaryota; Haptophyta. The record is from RNAcentral.